CGCUGGCGGCGUGCUUCAUACAUGCAAGUCGAACGAGAAAUCAACUUCGGUUGGUGGAAAGUGGCGGACGGGUGAGUAAUGUGUAGAGAAUCUGCCCUUUAGCGGGGGACAACAGUUGGAAACGACUGCUAAUACCCCAUAUGCGCGUAGUUGCAAUACUAUUCGUGAAAACUCCGGUGCUAAAGGAUGAGUCUGCAUCUGAUUAGCUAGUUGGCGGUGUAAUGGACCACCAAGGCGACGAUCAGUAGCUGGUUUGAGAGGAUGAUCAGCCACAAUGGGACUGAGACACGGCCCAUACUCCUACGGGAGGCAGCAGUAGGGAAUUUUGCGCAAUGGGCGAAAGCCUGACGCCAGCAACGCCGCGUGAUUGAAUAAGCCCUUCGGGGUGUAAAGAUCUGUCAGUGGGGACGAAACUUGACGGUACCCACAGAGGAAGCAUCGGCUAACUCCGUGCCAGCAGCAGC
RNAcentral lists this ribosomal RNA (464 nucleotides) under uncultured bacterium. RNAcentral's name for it is "bacterial SSU rRNA". It matches the Rfam family "Bacterial small subunit ribosomal RNA", at positions 34 to 518 of the family's 1533-position model. The record is from RNAcentral.